Molecule: small RNA, 127 nt
Filed under: Marmota monax (woodchuck)
Lineage: Eukaryota; Metazoa; Chordata; Mammalia; Rodentia; Sciuridae
Source: RNAcentral
GCCAGGUGCAGUGUCACAUGCCUGUAAUCCCAGAUGCUUGGGAGGCUGAGAUAGGAGGAUUGUGAGUUCAAAGCCAGCCUCUGUAUUUUAGUGAGGGCCUAAGUAAUUCAGCAAGACCCUGUCUCUA